RNA transcript from Arachis stenosperma, 2304 nucleotides. RefSeq lists it as uncharacterized. Lineage: Eukaryota; Viridiplantae; Streptophyta; Magnoliopsida; Fabales; Fabaceae. The transcript is spliced from 4 exons. The record is from RefSeq and is a predicted model, not a curated record.
AUCCAUCUCAAAUCCAAGCUUACGAUCAAUCCUAUGCGUAUCAACAACCAUAUUAUCCCUACACUCAACAAUACGCGUAUUAUCCUGAUCCAACUCAAGCUCACCUUCAAUUCCAACCCGAAUCCGCACCGGUUCACCCUCCCGGUGUCAAUCCUGAACCGGCUCCUCAAAGACCCACGCACGCCCCGGAUUUUGCAAUGAGUGCAUUAGAGAGCUGAGAGAAAAUUGAAGGGCAAAUUACACUGAUCUCCCAUGAACUUUCCUUUUUAAAGGAAGAUAAUGUUACCUUAUCCCUUUACAGAGGUGUUUAGUGUCGCAUUUUGUGAAAAUACAAGGAUAUUCGAUGAAGUAUUACCUACAUAUUUAGGAAUGCCAGUAUAUGCUAUUAGAGAUCGAGGGAAGUUUGGUUGAAUUUCACUAAAUUUCAUGGGAGUGAGUGUAAUUUGCCCAAAUUUUAUUAUGGGACUACUUAGUCUGAAAAUGAUAGAAUCUCGGAUAAGGUGGUUUGGUUAUGUACAGAAGGCUUGUAAACGAUAGGUAAUAAACAGCAGUAAUUUGGUAUUAGAAAUGAAUACAUUGGAAUGAAUAUCAUGGUAGUUUAUUAUUGUGAAAAUGGUGAUGAAUUUGUAAUUGGUGGUAUUGUUUUGUUAGUGGAAGGAGCUUGUAGUCCAUAGCCAAUAGGUAAGUAAGCAACAUAGGUUUAGGAAAGGAAGUAUCAGAAAGAGAAUUUGGGUUAUAACUACUACGAAAAGGGAUGAAAGAAUCUAAAUCUAGUGUUAGGUGGUUUAACUAUGCAUGGAAGUGGGGUCUAUGUAGAUUAGUAGAAGUCUCAGACUCUUGGUAAGAAGAGUGGAUCAAAUGGAGAGUAGUUGAGAAGCUAAUAUAGAAUGAGGCAAGGAAAUCUAUAAAUGGAAUCGUCAAGAAGGAUUUAGAUUUCUAAACAUAUUAACGUAAUUUGUUAGUUGAUAGGAGACUAUGGUGUGAUAAAUAUGCUUACUACAUCUAGUUGGACAAGACUUGGCUCUUCUUGUUACACAUUUGGUUAUGUGUUAUGAGAAUUAUUACAGGAAUGGAACGUGUUGCUAUUGGGUAUGGAUGCCAUAACUAUGUUGUUCUUGAAUAUUUUCUUUCUGCCGCAAUAUUGUCUUUGCUGAGAUUGAUAUCAUUGACUAUCUGUUGAUUCUUCUGACAUCAUACUAUUUCAGUGUAUUUAUUUUGGAAAGUAUAAAUAGUAUCACUAUUUUAGAACAGCUUUUAUUAAAAAAAGAAUAUUUUAUAGCAUAACUUCUAUACGUCCUUCCUCCUUUGGUACAUUUUGUUCCUUACCUGCCUAACACUUUGUAUCAGGUGUCGAGCAUAAGGGAACAAAUAGCAGUUCCAUAGAAAGUUUUACUCAUCUAUUUCUUACUCUAGUUAUGAUAACAUGCUUACUGAGCAAAAUACCACCCAAACUUCUAUGGAAGUUUUAUUACUUGUACCGACAUUUGGUGCUUGAUAUAUAUUUGGAUAGUACAUCUAUAAGCACCUCAUCAAUUUUUUACAUUUUUUCUGGAAUUUUGACCAACAACAAAAGCCAUGUUUUAUUGUACCACUAGGUGAGUUUGCUAUAUCAUUUAAUCAAUGCCAUUGGGAUCAAUCAAGAUUUUUUUUUCUUUUUAUUUUUCAUUGAUACAAUAAGGUCUUUGUCUUUUGACUCCCUAGGUCUGUUUUUAGAUGAACAUGAGUACAGGACUGCAUUUAAAAGUUUGUUAACUCAAAACUUCGUUGUUAAUGUUCUGAGUUCUGAGUGUCUACGUAUGUUCAAAGUGCUUUCUAAUUUUACUAAUUCUUCCCAAUGAUUGUGGCAGGGGAAAAAGAAAGCCAUAGCAGCUUCUUUUUCUCAAGUGUCUCCCUGUUUGGCACUAAACAAGAUUAGUGGGAGGAACAUGUGGUAGACUCAGUUCAGCAUAUUUGCUGCUACACUAACAUGCUAGUUUCUCAAUUCCACCUAAAAGACAAUUGUAUGUUUGAAGAAUUAAAUAGAAAAGGCUCAUAAAAGAUUUUGUAGCACUUAAUCAUUUUUAAACAUUUUGUUAUGCUUUUAGAGAGAAUAUCUUGCUGUGCUUCCUCAGGAUCUUUUGGGACUUUCUCUGGACAAAAGGCCAAUAUUUGAAUAGAGGGUGUUUUAUCUUCAGUUUCAGACUUAGGGAAGCGUUGAGCAUGUUUUCAGGACCUUGAGAAAUUGUCCAGGAAUGCUUGAUCAACAGUAUCUUGAGGCUCAUAAAAUUGUCAAUGGACUGCGCCAUUUCAAUACAGAGGUAGGGG